GACGAACGCUGGCGGCGUGCUUAACACAUGCAAGUCGAGCGGUAAGGCCCUUUCGGGGUACGACGAGCGGCGAACGGGUAGAGUAACACGUGGGUGACCUCGCCCUCCAGCUCUGGGAGUAAAGCCUCGGGAAACCGGGGUACCGUAAUAACCGGAUAUGACUCCAUGACGCAUGUUGUGGGGUGGAAAGCCUUGUGCGGCUGAGGAUGGGCCCGCGGCCUAUCAGCUUGUUGGUGGGGUGAUGGCCUACCAAGGCGACGACGGGUAGCCGGCCUGAGAGGGCGACCGGCCACACUGGGACUGAGACACGGCCCAGACUCCUACGGGAGGCAGCAGCGGGGAAUCUUGCGCAAUGGGCGAAAGCCUGACGCAGCGACG
Molecule: ribosomal RNA, 378 nt
Filed under: uncultured bacterium
Lineage: Bacteria
Description: bacterial SSU rRNA
Rfam family: Bacterial small subunit ribosomal RNA
Source: RNAcentral